AUUGAACGCUGGCGGAACGCUUUACACAUGCAAGUCGAACGGUAACGUGGGGAGGAGCUUGCUCCACCCUGACGACGAGUGGCGAACGGGUGAGUAAUACAUCGGAACGUGUCCGCUCGUGGGGGACAACCGGCCGAAAGGUUGGCUAAUACCGCAUGAGUUCUACGGAAGAAAGAGGGGGACCCGCAAGGGCCUCUCGCGAGCGGAGCGGCCGAUGACUGAUUAGCCGGUUGGUGAGGUAACGGCUCACCAAAGCAACGAUCAGUAGCUGGUCUGAGAGGACGACCAGCCACACUGGGACUGAGACACGGCCCAGACUCCUACGGGAGGCAGCAGUGGGGAAUUUUGGACAAUGGGCGCAAGCCUGAUCCAGCUAUUCCGCGUGUGGGAUGAAGGCCCUCGGGUUGUAAACCACUUUUGUAGAGAACGAAAAGACACCUUCGAAUAAAGGGUGUUGCUGACGGUACUCUAAGAAUAAGCACCGGCUAACUACGUGCCAGCAGCCGCGGUAAUACGUAGGGUGCGAGCGUUAAUCGGAAUUACUGGGCGUAAAGGGUGCGCAGGCGGUUGAGUAAGACAGAUGUGAAAUCCCCGAGCUUAACUCGGGAAUGGCAUAUGUGACUGCUCGACUAGAGUGUGUCAGAGGGAGGUGGAAUUCCACGUGUAGCAGUGAAAUGCGUAGAUAUGUGGAAGAACACCGAUGGCGAAGGCAGCCUCCUGGGACAUAACUGACGCUCAGGCACGAAAGCGUGGGGAGCAAACAGGAUUAGAUACCCUGGUAGUCCACGCCCUAAACGAUGUUAACUAGUUGUUGGGAAGUAAUAUUCUCAGUAACGCAGCCAACGCGAGAAGUUAACCGCCUGGGAAGUACGGUCGCAAGACUAAAACUCAAAGGAAUUGACGGGGACCCGCACAAGCGGUGGAUGAUGUGGAUUAAUUCGAUGCAACGCGAAAAACCUUACCUACCCUUGACAUGUCAGGAAGCUCUUGUAAUGAGAGUGUGCCCGCAAGGGAGCCUGAACACAGGUGCUGCAUGGCUGUCGUCAGCUCGUGUCGUGAGAUGUUGGGUUAAGUCCCGCAACGAGCGCAACCCUUGUCACUAGUUGCUACGAAAGGGCACUCUAGUGAGACUGCCGGUGACAAACCGGAGGAAGGUGGGGAUGACGUCAAGUCCUCAUGGCCCUUAUGGGUAGGGCUUCACACGUCAUACAAUGGUCGGAACAGAGGGCAGCGAAGCCGUGAGGCGGAGCCAAUCCCAGAAAACCGAUCGUAGUCCGGAUUGCAGUCUGCAACUCGACUGCAUGAAGUCGGAAUCGCUAGUAAUCGCGGAUCAGCAUGCCGCGGUGAAUACGUUCCCGGGUCUUGUACACACCGCCCGUCAAACAAUGGGAGUGGUGUUUACCAGAAGUCGUUAGCCUAACCGCAAGGAGGGCGGCGACCACGGUGAGCACCGUGACUAAUGUUAAGUCGUAACAAGGUAGCCGUACCGGAAGGUGCGGCUGGAUCACCUCCUUUCAAGUAAAGCAGUAUGAGCUCAGAAGUUCUGAGUGUCCGCUCUUAUCGGAAGUCGAUAAAGAUUUGAAGACAAGCCCGAGACCGUGGGUCUUUAGCUCAGCUGGUUAGAGCACCGUCUUGAUAAGGCGGGGGUCGAUGGUUCGAGUCCAUCAAGACCCACCAUGGCACUUCUUGACGGGGGUAUAGCUCAGCUGGGAGAGCACCUGCUUUGCAAGCAGGGGGUCAACGGUUCGAUCCCGUUUACCUCCACCACGAGAUAUACGGGCAAGUCAAAAAAACAAGAUGAAAGAGCUUUACGGAGCUUUUUGAUAUUGUCUUUUGACAAUGUGUUCUUUAACAAUUCGGAAUAAUCAAUCUAACGUUUAAGCUGAUUUGAUGAGAGUCAGCGAGAACGGGUAGUGAUAAGAAAUCUUUACAAAGAGAGAAACUUUGAGAUUUCUCAAGCAAAGACAUACAAGCAUAUGGCAUGAGAACGAGAGUUGCUUGUGACCCGGCCGGGCAAUAGGCGGCAGGGUUAUAGGAUCAAGUGACUAAGUGCAUGUGGCGGAUGCCUUGGCGAUCACAGGCGAAGAAAGACGCGGCAGCCUGCGAAAAGCUGCGGGGAGCUGGCAAACGAGCUUUGAUCCGCAGAUAUCUGAAUGGGGGAACCCACACCGCAAGGUGUAUCCGUAGCUGAAUACAUAGGUUACGGAGGCGAACGAGGAGAACUGAAACAUCUAAGUAUCCUCAGGAAAAGAAAUCAACCGAGAUUCCGGCAGUAGCGGCGAGCGAACCCGGAGGAGCCUAGCUUUUGAUAGUACGAACUUUAGCCGAAAGGUCCUGGAAAGGCCUGCUAUAGUGGGUGAUAGCCCCGUAGGCGAAAGAGUUGGUACGGUACUAAGGAAGCGAGAAGUAGAGCGGGACACGUGGAAUCCUGUUCGAAGACGGGGGGACCAUCCUCCAAGGCUAAAUACUCGUGAUCGACCGAUAGUGAACC
This 2491-nucleotide unclassified non-coding RNA is filed under the name uncultured Burkholderiales bacterium. Its description in RNAcentral is "partial contains 16S ribosomal RNA, 16S-23S ribosomal RNA intergenic spacer, and 23S ribosomal RNA". The stretch from base 1 to 1515 matches the Rfam family "Bacterial small subunit ribosomal RNA". Lineage: Bacteria; Pseudomonadati; Pseudomonadota; Betaproteobacteria; Burkholderiales. The record is from RNAcentral.